Molecule: long non-coding RNA, 3209 nt
Filed under: Homo sapiens (human)
Lineage: Eukaryota; Metazoa; Chordata; Mammalia; Primates; Hominidae
Description: HSALNT0153606
Source: RNAcentral
CUUGCUAUGGUUAAGAGCUGCAAAAGGGGUGGGGGAGGGGGAGAGUCUUUAUAGACCAAACCCAGGCUGUGGGAAUUUCAAGCCAUGAAGCAUGAGCCCAGCUGUAGCCAGAGUACUCCUGGGUACUGGGAGCAAUAGUAGCAUCUCAGCUCCAGGUUCACACUGUCACCCAAUCACUUUGCAUAUUAAACUGCUACUGAACUCUUAAGGACCAGCAGACACACCAUUUGUUAAAAUCACAAUGCAUCCCUUCUGCUGCCAAAGAUGGAACUGUAAUUUUCCCCUGCUCUCAAAAUAAAUACUUUGAUGGUUCUGAAAAAUUUUAGCAAUUAGCUUGUACCAUCACCUCUAAUUAGCCACUGGCAAACACAAUUGAGAUAAUAAAGCUUACCGAGGGAAAAGCAUGAAUAAGCACCAGAUUCUAAAUCUACUGGGGAAGUGACCCUGGUGAAUCAUUUAGUAGUCACUGUAAUGUAAUUUUGCAGGUUUGUUGUACACACACCACAGAGAACAUAUUAAGUGGGUCUGAGCCAUAAGAGAGUCUUAAUGAUUAAUUUGCCAUAUGCUCCUGAAAAUCUCAUUUUUUUUGAGAAACAAUACACAUCUACUCUUUUUCUUAUUAAUAAAACUACCAAGAAAAUAAAACAACUUUUCUUUCCAUCCUACUAAUGACUCCCUCUAACUUGCAUAGAUAUCCAGGGAUUGGUCUUUUUAAAAAAAUUAUAUCUAAAUUCCCGCAGAAGCUAGUAGAACACAGCAAUUUACUCUCCUAUUAUGUGUUUGACUUCAAUUGUUGGCAACUGCUUUUUAAUAAUUUUUAUUGACUGUUCCACAGUGACAUCAUGGGGAAGAUAAUUAUUAUUCUUUUUUAUUUACAGAAAAAACACCACUUUGGGGUAAAGUGGCACGCCUGAGAUUCCAGCACGAGGAAGUCUAGAUGACAACCCAGCCUUCAGAUUCCCAGUAUGUCUCACAUGGAAAAAGCAAAACUAAAAUCCACCACUUUGAAUGGCAAAAAGCGACCAUGAGUAGAGAGUCCCGUAUCACAGCAAGACCUUCACCUCUGUGAAACUCAGUUUCUAGUUUGAGGGUUUCUGACUCAUGCAACCAAUGGUACACAUUGAUUAUAAUUCCAUGGUUGGAGCUGCUAUCAGAGUCUGGCCUGAUGUCAGUUGUUAAAGCCAAGAGUCAAGAACUCAAGAGAGAGAGGAGAAGGAGGUCAGUCGGUCAUGGUAAACUUGCUUUGACAAUGCCAGAGCAGAUCCAGCCCCUUCUUGAAGCUGGGGAGCUCCUAUGAUGAAAAGAGACAGCUGGGGGAUGUGGCCUCUCCCUGUGAGGAAUGAUGUGGGGGCAGUAACUGCUGGGAGCUUCAUUCAGCCUCACACAGGGCAUCUGAUCCAUUUUGUCUUGCUCGACUUGGCUGAUAAUUUCAUCUUUCAGCCAGGAGCAGAAGAGACUUGGGGAACUUCUGUUCUGGACCUAAUUCUGAUCAACUAGGAAAAAUUGCUUGGCAAAAUGGAUGUGACAGGAACCUCAAGAGAGAAGAACAACAUCAUUCUGGGGUUUGUGAAAGCUGAAAGGAUGGGAGGCUGGGCAGUUAGAAUUCUAAGGCAGUGAUGUUUAUACACUUAUUCAGCAAGUUCUUAUUCAGCACAGGCUCUGGGCCAGGCAGCGUCCUUAAUGCUGGUACUACGACAUGAAUAAAGCAAAAUCCCUACCCUCAGGAGGCUUCUAUUUGAUGGUAAGCAAACAAAGAACAAAACCAUUUCAGAUAGUUUUUAAAUUCUAUGCAAACAAUGAAGCAGGGUAAUGGGACAGUGAAUGGGAAUUGGUUGAGUCUAGAUCAGGUGGUUUGGAAGUCCUCCCUGGUGUGGGAUAUUUAGGCUGAAACCCAGGUGACGAGAAAGAACCAGUUAUACAAACAGUAAGUUAUGGAAGAAUCAGCAAAUGCAAAAAUCAGCUGGGGAGAUCUGUCAUGGUGUGAUCAAAGAUCGAAAGCAGCAGAAGCUUUUCCUAAGAGUGAUGGUGGCUCUGAGAGAUUUGCAGAGGAGUGUUUCCAUUACAAUACUAUUGCAUUUGAACUUGGACCAUCAACUUGGUGAUCUUGGGGAAUAUUCCAGUAUAGAGGAUGAAACAGAUUGUUCAUAUGCACUUAGACCAAAAUUGAUGGUCAUUAGCGUCCAGCUUAUCACCACAAACAGAAUUAGACCCUCUCCACAUUUUUUAGAGGGUCAGGUUUAAUAGACUAAUAGAGCAGCGGGAGGCAGACACAGUGUACUGUGAUUUCAGCAGACCAUUCGAUGAGGUACCUCAUGUUUUUAUGGACAAAUUAGAAAAAUAAUGGUGGCAUUCUGGUUUAGCCAGCUAAAUGGUUCCAAAGGAAAAACAAAACAAAACAAAACAAAAAACAGGGUCUUGGAGAAGAGGGUCUAAACUUGAUAUGUGUUUCUAGAAGAUAAAACCAGGACCAAAGGCUGGAAAUUAUGGGAAAGCAGAUUUUAACUCAGUAUAAGGCUGACCUUUCUAAGAAUAAGAGAUGUCCUGAAGCUGCUUUGGAAUUAGGACGAAGAUGAGUAAAAUUGAUGCAGCAGAUGGUGAAUGUUUGGGGGACUGGUCUCAUCCACCAUGAUAAUCUAGGAUUAUAGAUUUAGGAGAAAUAACUGAACAAUUGUUUACGUGCCAUUUUCUCUCUGUAGUUUAAUAAUGAUUUCUCUCUAUAAUAAAGGCUGUGCCAAUCACCCAGGUGAGAAACCUCAGCCUCUUCACUUACUCCUCCCUCUCCUCUGGCCCUGACAUUCCAUCCCUUUGGACUCCUUCUCCUCAUUCCCACAACCUUUGCCCUGGUGCAGACUCCCACAGUCUCUGAACUAUUGGGGUGGCCUCCCGAUUGCCCUCCAGCUUCUGCUCUUUUUUCUCACUGCUUGUGUGUGGCCUGAAUAGCACUUUAAAAAACUGAUAUCACAUCAAACCCCUCUAGUAAAACCUCUACUAGUUCUUCUUUUCCCCCAAAAAGUACUACACAAUCUUUGGAAUGUUUCCAAGGCUCUGACCUCGUUUAAUGCACAUCUGCCCUGCUCCACCCAUGCUGUGAAAGUCCAGCCUCUCAGGCUCUCUCCAAUAUCACCUCCUCUAAGAAACCUCCUGUUUCCCUAAUCAAGGGUAAUUCCACUUUCACACUUAUUCCCACACAAUAUUCACCUUAAUUAAAC